AAUAGAUCCCGGGUAGUCCACCCCGUAAACGUUGGGAACUAGUUGUGGGGUCCUUUCCACGGAUUCCGUGACGCAGCUAACGCAUUAAGUUCCCCGCCUGGGGAGUACGGCCGCAAGGCUAAAACUCAAAGGAAUUGACGGGGACCCGCACAAGCGGCGGAGCAUGCGGAUUAAUUCGAUGCAACGCGAAGAACCUUACCAAGGCUUGACAUACACCAGAACACCCUAGAAAUAGGGGACUCUUUGGACACUGGUGAACAGGUGGUGCAUGGUUGUCGUCAGCUCGUGUCGUGAGAUGUUGGGUUAAGUCCCGCAACGAGCGCAACCCUCGUUCUAUGUUGCCAGCACGUAAUGGUGGGAACUCAUGGGAUACUGCCGGGGUCAACUCGGAGGAAGGUGGGGAUGACGUCAAAUCAUCAUGCCCCUUAUGUCUUGGGCUUCACGCAUGCUACAAUGGCCGGUACAAAGGGCUGCAAUACCGUGAGGUGAGCGAAUCCCAAAAAGCCGGUCCAGUUCGGAUUGAGGUCUGCAACUCGCCUG
Molecule: ribosomal RNA, 540 nt
Filed under: uncultured bacterium
Lineage: Bacteria
Description: bacterial SSU rRNA
Rfam family: Bacterial small subunit ribosomal RNA
Source: RNAcentral